CGGUGUGAAAAACUCCGGUGGUAUGAGAUGGACCCGCGUCUGAUUAGCUAGUUGGUGGGGUAACGGCCCACCAAGGCGACGAUCAGUAGCCGGCCUGAGAGGGUGGACGGCCACAUUGGGACUGAGACACGGCCCAAACUCCUACGGGAGGCAGCAGUGGGGAAUAUUGCACAAUGGGGGAAACCCUGAUGCAGCAACGCCGCGUGAGUGAAGAAGUAUUUCGGUAUGUAAAGCUCUAUCAGCAGGGAAGAAAAUGACGGUACCUGACUAAGAAGCCCCGGCUAACUACGUGCCAGCAGCCGCGGUAAUACGUAGGGGGCAAGCGUUAUCCGGAUUUACUGGGUGUAAAGGGAGCGCAGACGGCUGUGCAAGUCUGGAGUGAAAGGCGGGGGCCCAACCCCCGGACUGCUCUGGAAACUGUAAAGCUGGAGUGCAGGAGAGGUAAGCGGAAUUCCUAGUGUAGCGGUGAAAUGCGUAGAUAUUAGGAGGAACACCAGUGGCGAAGGCGGCUUACUGGACUGCAACUGACGUUGAGGCUCGAAAGCGUGGGGAGCAAACAGGAUUAGAUACCCUGGUAGUCCACGCCGUAAACGAUGAUUACUAGGUGUCGGGGGGUAAGGCCCGCCGGUGCCGCAGCAAACGC
Molecule: ribosomal RNA, 643 nt
Filed under: uncultured bacterium
Lineage: Bacteria
Description: bacterial SSU rRNA
Rfam family: Bacterial small subunit ribosomal RNA
Source: RNAcentral